AGAAACGGCUUGUUGCCAGUUCAUUACAGAUCCUGCCGAGACAUCUUUGGCCCUAUGUUGCUACAUGAGAAGAUAAUGUCUUUCUCCAGAGAUUGAACUUGAAUCCUGUUUUCACUUACCUGUCUGUUCCUGACUCCACAGUGAUGCCGUUGCCAUUUCUGUCCUGCCCACUUACCUGUGGGUCUCUGAUUCUCCAUCUUCACUUCAGAACAGCUCAACCUACCUUGUGCUCCUGGGUUUCCAGCUUUACCGAGCACUCUCCUGCCUGCCCAACUCACUUGGGUGCCUCUGGGUCUCCAGCAACAUCAACAGGCACAACUACCUCACCUGGUCCUCCCAACUCUGCAGCCAGUUUAGCCUGCUCUCCUGUCUGACUCAGCUAGCUACCCAUGGGGUGGCACUCACCUGCCAGCUUCAAACACUAGUCCUAUGUAUAGAACCUGUCCAGACUGGGAGAUCCCUCACCUGCCCAGCAUGUUUUCAAUCUUCCUGGGGUCCCAAUUCUCUCAUCUAGUCCUUUGCCUAAAUAUAAAUUACUCUAAUAAAUCGUCUGUUGUCCAGACUUCAA
Molecule: long non-coding RNA, 568 nt
Organism: Monopterus albus (swamp eel)
Lineage: Eukaryota; Metazoa; Chordata; Actinopteri; Synbranchiformes; Synbranchidae
Exons: 2
Source: RefSeq, a predicted model, not a curated record